AGUUUACGUGGGCCCUCAUCCGAAAAGAUCCCGAAUCCGCCCCAGGGUUUAUUAAUAGAAUCCCAAUUUCUCAACUGAUUUAUUUUUAGAACGAACACUCUGAUAUCUAUUCCUCUGGUCUGUCUAGCUUUAAUUGGUAUAAAAAAGUACCCGUUUAUAUUAAAUACUUCCUUACGGAAAUAAAACAUAGGAAUACCCAAGAAACAAGGAAAUAUUUCCUGUAAAUUCACGAAGAAAGACACCCACACAAUCAUUUUGUUACUGCCUUUGGCAAAAUUAAGAUAUAUUCUCAUAAUGGAUUACUUUUUGGAAGCUGGAAGCCAAAUUGGCAAUAGAGACCUGAUAUUUGGACAAGACGUCUUCGAUUCUUAUAAAACAGCGUAAAAGUAGAGGUCAUAUCUUUACGGUUUGAUGAUUUGAAAAGCAAGUGUUUCAUGCAACUGAAAUAGGUAUAUUAAA
Long non-coding RNA from Saccostrea cuccullata (small rock oyster), 459 nucleotides. RefSeq lists it as uncharacterized. The transcript is spliced from 3 exons. NCBI's taxonomy places the organism in Eukaryota, Metazoa, Mollusca, Bivalvia, Ostreida, Ostreidae. The record is from RefSeq and is a predicted model, not a curated record.